Long non-coding RNA from Numida meleagris (helmeted guineafowl), 4816 nucleotides. RefSeq lists it as uncharacterized. The transcript is spliced from 2 exons. The record is from RefSeq and is a predicted model, not a curated record. NCBI's taxonomy places the organism in Eukaryota, Metazoa, Chordata, Aves, Galliformes, Numididae.
GGCCUGCUCUGUGGCGGCUGAGGGGCAGGGCCGGAGGCCGUGGAGGGGAAGGGGCACUGCAGGCCCAGCGGUGCCAGCAGGCAGCCACAGCCCAACCGCGGCCCCCCUGGCCCAGGAGCAGAGGGGCCCUGCCCGCGCCGGCUGGGGAGCCCCUGCCUGCCCCCGCCUGCCCUCUCCGCUGCAGGCAGACCCCCAGCACCCCUCUGCCCGGCGGCGGGGAGCUGCACGCAGUGCUGGAGCCAGCAGUGUUCAAACUGUUGCAGGAGACUGUAAGGGGAGGCAGGAAGCUUAGUGGCAUGGAACUCCAGCCCCGGGGUGGGACAGGCUCCCAUCCCUCCUUGGCCAAAGAGACUUAAGGAAUGCCGCCCUGAGCACCCGCUGCCACGCCUCACCUGGCCCCAGCCCAGCGGCAGGCGACUGUUUGCCUCUUACAGCUGCCUACUCCAGCACAGAGGGAGAUGGGCCUGCGGCUCCAUCAAGAUCCCAAUCAAGCCUUUACUUAUUUCCCUGAUGUGCUGUUCCCUUUUGUUCCAUUGCUGUUACCUGUGAUAAGAUGGCUGACCCCAACAUCGCUACAACCUCCUUUCAGGGAGAUGUAGAGAGCUUAAUAGUCUACUGCGUGCCUAUUCUUAUCCAGAAUAGCUACAGAAACAACAGCAACAAAAAUUGAGGAGAAAUCACAGGGAGCAGGAGCUGAUCAGGGUUCUUAUUUGGUAGUGUACAGGGACUGCUUUCACUCUAGUCAUACUCACUUGGAGAGUAGAAAUAGUUUUUGUGCUGGAAAAUGGCGAGCUUACUUCUAACAUAAUGUUGUUUAACAAAAGUCUGUCUGUAAUUUACACUGCUCAAACAUUUUCUGUUAGCUCAUUGUAUUAUUGUUUGCUUUUAUAGGUUGGGAUUUUUGAGAUACCCAUCCCAGUGACGUGCUUUUUUUUACAUAACACCUUUGUAUCAUCAUAUUAUUGCUUCAGAAGUACUGUAGGCUUAGCAGUGCAAAGGGUCUAUGUCCCCCAGGACAAAUGUGUUUGUAUGGUUGUGGUCUGUGUGUGUUUUUCUACUUUAAAAAACAAAUCCUCAGACAAAACAACUUUUAGAAGCUGGUCUGAAUGUCCAGCUUUUCUGACAGUCAAGAACUCAGGUACAUAAAGAAUGAAAAUUAGCAGGGCGAGCCACGCCAAAUGUUGUGCCUUCCCACGUUCCUCACGCACGGCCUACUUAAGCAAAUGGGAACUCUCCCAGUGGUGCCAGUAUAUAAAAAAAAAAAACUGUGAAAGAAGCAGAGUCCAAACCAAGAGGCGAUCUAUUUCUCCCAUGUAGGACAUCCUUCUUCCUCUCUCCCAGGAAACACAGCAUUUAGGCCAAGUGCGGGCUUUAGCAAACUUCAUUUCUGCACCUGUCCCACAUACGGGGAAAGCAGAAAGCAAGCUGCCUGUCUGACGUUGUGAAGGAAGCAGCCACCUCAAGGGCCCAUCCUUUCACAUUCUUCUGUGGGCUGACUGCAGCCCUGAGCCACCUGCACCUCUCUGCAGCUGUGCAGCUUGCAAUGGGCCUGUAGCAUGGUGUGCGUCAGCACUGCUGUCCUCCAGCCAGGGGAGAGCUGCAGUGCUCGGUGGGGGAUUUACAGAGCAGGGAACUGCUCUGUUGCAGCUCCUAAUGCAGUUCUGAAAACCCUUCCGUAAAUGUCACUAUCAUUUUGUUGCAAGUGAUUUGCUUUUCUGCACAACCCUUUUCGCUCAUACCUCAGUGGGAAGCUGCUUUGAAUUUUAAUUCACGAUUAUUCAGCUCCUGUCACACCUACAUAGCGCCUUUGCUUCAAGCUUGUACAUGAUGUUCUGCUGCCUUUGAGUGCAUGGGAGCAGCUAGGGCAGGAAAAAUGAGAUGGAAGUGAGAAAGUUGUGUGUCCUAUGUGAAGGGAAUUAAUCGAAUGAAAAAUCCAAUCAGAAAAAUCUACAGGCAACAAGUGAGACCAGUGGAAUUCAGCUUAUGCUCAAAGACAGCACUUAUCCAGAUCUUUGGCUCUUUAAUUGCAGCAGGGCAUACCAAAAGCAGGUAGAGGUGUUUUGUAGGAUCCAGCAACAUUGUUACUAUAAAGAAACUUUUAAUGCUUUGCAAAACAUCCAAGCGUAGAAUAUAAAGAGAAGAUGUCAGCUGUACGGUAAGGCAUUCAAAAUUAGCAUUUUGUGUGAUUCGGAAUAAGAUUAUCUGAUCUCUUCCCGCUUUCUGAAUUUAGAAAUACUUGGAAGAGUCCCAUCAAGAGGUAUAGCGUGAGAAGACACAUCUGUGGAGGAGCAGAGCAAGGGGGCUGCUGUGUGCUGGCACCACUGCAAGGGGAAAGAUGUUCUGGCCAUGCCUGGCUGCCAGUGAGCCAAGCUCGGGGCUUCUGAGCAUCUGUGUGCCACUGGGAAACUGUGCCGGAGAUGCUCUCCCAUGGAAAAGUGAGAGAGAAUGAGUAAUGUCCUCUGUUCCAAGUGACACCUGUUCUGAUCCUAGGCUGCUUUAGGUGCUGUUUGACAGUGGAGGGAGCUGCCAGCUCACCAUGGCCUGGCUCCGCAAGCAGAGCCCAGCUUUCUUGCUGGUGGCCCCUCAGAGAUGGUGUCAAAUUUGCAGGAGGUGGAUGCUGGCCUGGAAGUGCCCGGUGCACUUCAGCUACCUUCGGGCAUGGUUUGCGUGCCCAUACCGUGCACGCAGAACCCCAAGCUGAACUGAUCUGCAGCCUUCCUGCCCUGGCCAGCAGCAGCGGCACAAAGCAUGGCUUAGUUCCAACCCUGAAGGAAAAAGAGUUUAUUCACGUGAUCCUGCUUGCUGGCUGCUGGUGGCAGAGCGUGGCAUGGGCUGGGCCGUGCUGGUUUGGCAGGUACAUGUGGCAGUGUAUGUGGUUGGGCAGGAUGGGUUCUGAGUCAGAAGCUCCUGUGACGUUGCUAAAUUCAGCUUGUUCUGCUUUACACUGGAGCUGCUUUGGUGCAGCCUUUCUGCCUUCAGAAAUAUGGAUCAGACCCAGUUCUUGUGAGUUGCAUAUAUUCAUUCAUUAGGCCUGGAAAAAGGGAGUGAGAAGAAGUUCUGCCCAUGGUACAGCCCUCGGACUGGCAGGUAUGUGACAGCAAUUAAGCACUGAGGCAGCCUGCCUUCUCAGCCAGGACAUGGCACAUUAUUUCUCUGAUAUCUGGAUGUCAGAUGAUUUCAUCUGAAGUUCUAGCAAGACCCUGAACUGAGGAUCUGGGAACACACACCGGCUUUGCUGUGGUUCUCACUCUGGUUUAUUGCAUUGUGCCCAAGAAGCCAGAUUGUUACCUGGCUAGGGCUCAGAGAGAAUGUGAUACCUACCAAAUGCCAUAUUAAAUAGAAUCUUUUUUCCUGGCCCCAUGCAGUGCUUCAAAUCCUGUCCAUCAUUCCCCAAGUGCUAGAAUGCAGCACUCUUGCCUUCAUCUCAGUAGAUUCACCAGGACCAGCUGGGUGCCAAAGGUCUGAUCUGGUCUGAGUUCACGAUAGAUCUCAUGUGCAGCAGUGACUGGCUCCCAUCAGCUCACCUGAUCACUUAUUCCAGGGAAGCAACAUUCAGAUUUGCCAGCAAACUGUCUCUGACACACUCUAAAAAGUAUCUUUUCCAGGGAAGGGCUUAAUGUCAUCCUUUUAUGUUCUCUUUUUUUAAAAUAUCUUUUUAUUAUUAUUAUUAUUAUUGUAACACAAGAAGCAGAAGAUGCCGAAGAAAAUACUUCAAAGGCAUCAUAUCUCCCUCCUCAGCUGAGAGGAGCAAAGGUUUUGUAGUUAAAUGGGGAAAGCUUUGUUUCUAGGUUUCUGAGUUUUGACACAAAUCCCUGUGGGACCCAUGUCCCUGGGCCUCCCCAGCCUCUGCACAGCGAUACUUUUCUUUGCAAAAGUAGGGCUUGUGCUGGAGUAAACACAAAAAAAUGCAGAGAUGCUCAAGGCAGCGGGAAGCAGUCUAUGCCACACUUCUGGUGAACGGCUGCGAGUUAACUGCUGGCAGUGUGCACCUCUGUCAUUUCAGCGUGUAGAAAGCCCAUGUCCCAGGGUUGAAAACCCACCACACUCAUGGAUGUGAGCUCCUCUCUGCAGCCCCUUCCCAGGAGCAACCCCAACUCAAACAAGCAGAGCUCAUCCAAAUUUAACCUGCGGGUUUUGCAGAAAAGCUUGAGGGAGUCCCUGCGGCUUUCCAGUUUUCUGUUCUAUGAUGCAAAUUCAGGUUUAGACUGACCCCUAAAGGGCAGCAAGGACCUGUUAGAUUUCAGACCAGCCUCAUAAACUUCCAAAAUCUUGAGAAACUGAUUUACCUGCAGCUUUGAGCCACAAUAAAAGUUGAUUUGGAAAUUCACCUCAACUCAGUUUCUGACUGCAGAUGAGAGCAGCAUAUUUUCCAGUCUGCAAAAUCUGUCAGCUUUCAGCAGAAAAUGCGCUUUAGAACUUUACAUACUUUCUGCCUGAUCAGUCCCUUGUGUUUGAGUAUCACAAAAUACUUGCGACAACCUGUGAUGUACUUGUCUACCACUGCUUUUCAAGCUAGGUAUUAGGAAAAAGCUUCUCCAAAAGAGCGGUCGGGCACUGGCACAGGCUGCCUGGGGAACUGGGGGAGUCACCGUCCCUGGAGGUGUUCAAGAAGCAUGGGGAUGUGGCGCUGAAGGACGUGGAUAGUGGGCAGUGAUGGAGGAGGGAAGGGGUAAUAAAGAGACAAGAAUACGGCAACACAUGAUUGUGACUCUCUCCUCUGCCUCCUUCCCUGUGCUGGUGGUAGGGCUCUGCACUCAAACUUCAAAUGCAAAUCACAGUUGCCAUUAUGGCUGAAUAAACGAGAGAAUGAACCAUU